Molecule: ribosomal RNA, 411 nt
Filed under: Pseudomonas aeruginosa
Lineage: Bacteria; Pseudomonadati; Pseudomonadota; Gammaproteobacteria; Pseudomonadales; Pseudomonadaceae
Description: bacterial SSU rRNA
Rfam family: Bacterial small subunit ribosomal RNA
Source: RNAcentral
AACCUGGGAACUGCAUUCGAAACUGGCAGGCUAGAGUCUUGUAGAGGGGGGUAGAAUUCCAGGUGUAGCGGUGAAAUGCGUAGAGAUCUGGAGGAAUACCGGUGGCGAAGGCGGCCCCCUGGACAAAGACUGACGCUCAGGUGCGAAAGCGUGGGGAGCAAACAGGAUUAGAUACCCUGGUAGUCCACGCCGUAAACGAUGUCGAUUUGGAGGUUGUGCCCUUGAGGCGUGGCUUCCGGAGCUAACGCGUUAAAUCGACCGCCUGGGGAGUACGGCCGCAAGGUUAAAACUCAAAUGAAUUGACGGGGGCCCGCACAAGCGGUGGAGCAUGUGGUUUAAUUCGAUGCAACGCGAAGAACCUUACCUGGUCUUGACAUCCACAGAACUUUCCAGAGAUGGAUUGGUGCCUUC